GUAUGUGAACUGCGGAAGGAUCAUUACCGAGUGUAGGGUUCCUAGCGAGCCCAACCUCCCACCCGUGUUUACUGUACCUUAGUUGCUUCGGCGGGCCCGCCAUUCAUGGCCGCCGGGGGCUCUCAGCCCCGGGCCCGCGCCCGCCGGAGACACCACGAACUCUGUCUGAUCUAGUGAAGUCUGAGUUGAUUGUAUCGCAAUCAGUUAAAACUUUCAACAAUGGAUCUCUUGGUUCCGGCAUCGAUGAAGAACGCAGCGAAAUGCGAUAACUAGUGUGAAUUGCAGAAUUCCGUGAAUCAUCGAGUCUUUGAACGCACAUUGCGCCCCCUGGUAUUCCGGGGGGCAUGCCUGUCCGAGCGUCAUUGCUGCCCAUCAAGCACGGCUUGUGUGUUGGGUCGUCGUCCCCUCUCCGGGGGGGACGGGCCCCAAAGGCAGCGGCGGCACCGCGUCCGAUCCUCGAGCGUAUGGGGCUUUGUCACCCGCUCUGUAGGCCCGGCCGGCGCUUGCCGAACGCAAAUCAAUCUUUUUCCAGGUUGACCUCGAUCAGUAGGAUACCCGCUG
RNAcentral lists this ribosomal RNA (561 nucleotides) under Aspergillus flavus. RNAcentral describes it as "eukaryotic LSU rRNA". The stretch from base 209 to 362 matches the Rfam family "5.8S ribosomal RNA". The record is from RNAcentral. Lineage: Eukaryota; Fungi; Ascomycota; Eurotiomycetes; Eurotiales; Aspergillaceae.